This 2448-nucleotide long non-coding RNA is filed under the name Homo sapiens (human). RNAcentral describes it as "HSALNT0273408". Lineage: Eukaryota; Metazoa; Chordata; Mammalia; Primates; Hominidae. The record is from RNAcentral.
AGGCAUGGAAGUGUUCGCCAGACAGAGGGGUCCUGCCCUUGCUGAUCUGAGCUGGUUCUGUGUUAGAGACUCCGUGGGCGUCUGUUUGACAGGAUCUGCCAGGAGCUGAAGAAUAACUUUCCUGAUCUGGAAGAGCAAAUCUCAGAUAUUUUGCACAUUUGCAGAACCUACCCCUAGGAGUGGGAGAAGACCACAACCAAAGAAGCAAAUGGACACACGGACUAUCAGAUGAAAGGCAGCUACACAGGAAAAUAAAGCAGUGCAGCAGGAUUGGAGGUGCUUGUGGUGAGAGGAGGUAGGGAGUUGCUUUUUACAUGGGGAGAUCAGGGAAGGCCUCAGUAAGGAGGUGAUAUUUGAAUAGAGAGAGACCUGGGAGAGGAAAGAGAGUGAGCCCUGUUGAUAUAUAAGGGUAGAAUGACUCUGGCAGAGCGGUUAGUGCAAAGGUCUUGUGGCAGAAAACACCCUUUUGGACUUCCAUUGUGAAUGUCUUGGGACACUUGAUGGUGUCCCACAGGUCUCUGAGGCUUUGUUUGUUUAUUUAUUUAUUUAGAGACAGGGUCUUGCUCUGUUGCCCAGGCUGGAGUGCAGUGGUGCAAUCAUGGUUCACUGCAGCCUCAAACUCUUGGGAUCAAGUGAUCCUCCCACCUCAGCCUCCUGAGUAGCUGGGACCACAGUUGCACACCACCAUGCUCAGCUAAUUUCUUAUUUUUUGUAGAGAUGAGGUCUUGUUUUGUUGUCUAGGCUAGUCUCAAACUCUUGGAGUCAAGCAAUCCUCUCUCCUUGGUCUCCUAAAGUGCUGGGAUUAAAGGUAUGAGCCACUGGCCAAUAAAUCAUUUUAAAAAAUCAUUUUUUCCCUUUCUGUUAUGGACUGAAUGUUUGUGACCCAACCCCCGAAUUCAUAUGUUGAAACCCCAAUCCCUAAUGUGGUGGCAUUUGGAGGCGGGGUCUUUGGGAGGUAAUUGGGUUUGAAUGAAUCUCGAGGUGGAGCCGGUGAAGGGAUUGGUGCUUUUAUAAGGAGGUGAAGGGACCAGAGCUCUCUCUGUCAUGUGAGGAUAUGGCAAGGAAGCAGCUAUCUGCAAGCUUGGGACCAAAGCUAAGAAAAGACUAUGCUGCCACUCUGAUCUCAGACUUUGAGCCUUGAGAACUGUGAGAAAUACAGAGUUAUCGCUGAAGCCACCCUGUCUGUGGCAUUCUGUUGUAGCAGCUGGAACUGACUAAGACAGGUUCCCUUCUUCAACCUGGAUAAUCUUAGUGGACCUACCUUCAAAUCUGCUGUUGAGCCACUGGUGAAUUUUUCAUUUUGGUUACUGUACUUUUCAGCUCCAAAAUUUAUAGAUAUAUAUUUUGACAAUUUCUUAAUUUCUGUCUCUUUAUUCAUGUUCUGUAUUUGGUGAGACAUGGGUCUCGUACUUUCCUUUAUUUCUUUAGAUUGGGCUUUCUUUAAUUCUUUGAACGUACAGUUGUCCUUUGAUAUCUGCGGGGGAUUGGUUCCAGGACCCCUGGGGAUACCAAAAUCUGUAGAUGCUCAAAGUCUGUUGACUCUCCCUAUCUGUGGAUUCAACCGAUCGUGGAUUGAAAAUUGCAGUGCAGGAAUGUGGAUAGGAGGACUGACCAUACGUUAUUUGUAAUAGCUGACUUGACAUCUUUACAUAGUCAGUUCAACAUGUGGGCCUCCUUAGGGACAGUUUCUGUCUGUCUUUUUCCCCCCAUGUAUGGGCUAUAUGUCACGUAUCUUUUUAUGUCUCCUUGUUUUUGCUGUUGAAAACUGGACAUAUGACAUAACAUAAUGUGGUUACUCUGGAAAUCACAUCUCCCCAGGCUUUGUUGUUUCUGCUGUUUAUUGAAUAAUUUCCCUGGAUAAAGGGUGUAAAGUCUAUGUUCUUUGUCACAGAUGAUUACGAGGAGUUUCUGGGAACUUCCAGACAGGUUAGACAAUAACAAUCUUUAAGAGUAGGACUUUCGGGGAGUUUCACUCCCUGGCUCCCCUGUCCAGCGGCUGCCAGCUUUUUGCAUUUACAACUGCUGUGGAGCUGGGAAGAAGGAGAUGGCAACAGGGCAAGUUAAAAUGCUGCACAGCUCACAGUUCUGUCUGAGAUUCAGUCAUUUUUCUUGAAUAAAUCUCCAGGAAUUGUUGCAAGCCUUUAGUUAAUUUCCACAGUUCUGAAAAGUUGAUUUAGACAAUUUUCCAUCAUUUUCAGCCACAGCCAAUUUCACCAUUCCCUUGAAACUUGCAUUUAUUUUGCUUACAUCCAGAUUUGCAAAACUCCUUGCUCACUGUUCACUAGAUCCCGUCUUUUUUUUUUUUUUUUUUUUGAGACAGAGUCUUGCUCUGUUGCCCAGGCUGGAGUGCAAUGGCGGUAUCUCGGCUCAUUGCAACCUCCGCCCCCUGGGUUCAAGCAAUUCUCCUGCUUCAGCCUCCCGAGUAGCUGGGAUUACAGGCACCACCAC